This is a ribosomal RNA of 420 nucleotides. It matches the Rfam family "Bacterial small subunit ribosomal RNA", at positions 341 to 775 of the family's 1533-position model.
ACGGAAGGCAGCAGUGGGGAAUAUUGGGCAAUGGGGGCAACCCUGACCCAGCAACGCCGCGUGAAGGAAGAAGGCUUUCGGGUUGUAAACUUCUUUGACGAGGGACGAAAGAAAUGACGGUACCUCGAAAACAACCCACGGCUAACUACGUGCCAGCAGCCGCGGUAAUACGUAGGUGGCAAGCGUUGUCCGGAUUUACUGGGUGUAAAGGGCGCGUAGGUGGGUGAGCAAGUCAGAUGUGAAAUACCGGGGCUUAACUUCGGGGCUGCAUUUGAAACUGUUCAUCUUGAGUAUCGGAGAGGCAGGCGGAAUUCCUAGUGUAGCGGUAAAAUGCAUAGAUAUUAGGAGGAACGCCAGUGGCGAAGGCGGCCUGCUGGACGACAACUGACACUGAGGCGCGAAAGCGUGGGGAGCAAACAG